CCUACGGGGGGCAGCAGUGGGGAAUAUUGCACAAUGGGGGAAACCCUGAUGCAGCGACGCCGCGUGAGUGAAGAAGUAUUUCGGUAUGUAAAGCUCUAUCAGCAGGGAAGAAAAUGACGGUAUCUGAUUAAGAAGCCCCGGCUAACUACGCGCCAGAAGCCGCGGGAAUACGUAGGGGGGAAGCGUUAUCCGGAUUUACAGGGUGUAAAGGGAGCGUAGACGGCAGCGCAAGUCUGAAGUGAAAUGCCGGGGCUUAACCCCGGAACUGCUUUGGAAACUGUGCAGCUAGAGUGCAGGAGAGGUAAGUGGAAUUCCUGGUGUAGCGGUGAAAUGCGUAGAUAUCAGGAGGAACACCAGUGGCGAAGGCGGCUUACUGGACUGUAACUGACGUUGAGGCUCGAAAGCGUGGGGAGCAAACAGGAUUAGAUACCCGAGUAGUC
This 440-nucleotide ribosomal RNA is filed under the name uncultured bacterium. RNAcentral describes it as "partial 16S ribosomal RNA". It matches the Rfam family "Bacterial small subunit ribosomal RNA", at positions 338 to 795 of the family's 1533-position model. The record is from RNAcentral.